UGCGGGACUGCAGGGCCCUUGCGGUACUGGUCAUUUUUCAAUUGUAAAGAGGAUAAAUCCUGGGCAGGAAAGGAUGAGAAUCUGCAGAGGCGAAUUAAGAUGGAGAAAGCUCGCUGCUCUUUGAGGACGUGAGUCAAUAAGAGACACACAGUUCUUCUGAUUUGGGCAGCUUCAGGGAAG
Molecule: long non-coding RNA, 180 nt
Organism: Myotis lucifugus (little brown bat)
Lineage: Eukaryota; Metazoa; Chordata; Mammalia; Chiroptera; Vespertilionidae
Exons: 3
Source: RefSeq, a predicted model, not a curated record